RNAcentral lists this ribosomal RNA (525 nucleotides) under uncultured bacterium. RNAcentral describes it as "bacterial SSU rRNA". It matches the Rfam family "Bacterial small subunit ribosomal RNA", at positions 8 to 526 of the family's 1533-position model. The record is from RNAcentral.
AGAGUUUGAUCCUGGCUCAGAUUGAACGCUGGCGGCGUGCCUAACACAUGCAAGUCGAGCGGUAACAGGUGUAGCAAUACAUGCUGACGAGCGGCGGACGGGUGAGUAACGCUUGGGAAUCUGCCUGUUAGUGGGGGACAACCCGGGGAAACUCGGGCUAAUACCGCAUACGCACUACGGUGGAAAGCCGGGGACCGCAAGGCCUGGCGCUAACAGAUGAGCCCAAGUCGGAUUAGCUAGUUGGUAGGGUAACGGCCUACCAAGGCGACGAUCCGUAACUGGUCUGAGAGGACGACCAGUCACACCGGAACUGAGACACGGUCCGGACUCCUACGGGAGGCAGCAGUGGGGAAUAUUGGACAAUGGGUGAAAGCCUGAUCCAGCGACGCCGCGUGGGUGAAGAAGGCCUGCGGGUUGUAAAGCCCUUUCGGUGGGGAAGAAAAGCCUCGAGCUAAUACUUCGGGGCCUUGACGUAACCCAUAGAAGAAGCACCGGCUAACUCUGUGCCAGCAGCGGCGGUAAUAC